AGUUUGCAGGGCAGCAGUUGAAGAAGGAGCAAAAAGGGUUUUCUUGUGUGUGUUUCUUUGUGGCUGAUUGGCUGCUCUCCCUGUGCAAAGGUCAGAGGGGGCAGGGUUUCUGUUGAGGCAGGUGAUUAGCUGUGGGAGGAGCUUAUCAGAGUUUGCAGGGCUAGCGGCGCGCGCAGUUUGAUCCAUCUUUUAGAUUUAGGGGAGCUAGUCUCAAACGUUUGUUGGGGGAGACCUAGGUUUUUUUGUGGGGGGAGUUAUUUUUCCUGUCUUCACGCUUUUUAUGAUGGAGGACCGCUGUAGCCACCCCCAACGACACGUUCUCAAGAUGGAGGGGGAGGGAACAGCUGCAGUUGCCUGCGGUUCCUGCGCAAUGUUUGCCAUCUUGCCAAAGGUUGCAGGCAGCUUUACCUGCAGCAAUUGCAUGUUGAUUGCCCUCUUAAAAGACAAAGUCCAGCAACUGGAGGAACGUGUAGCUACGCUCCAAAGAAUUAGAGAGCUGGAGCUCUUCUUGGAAGCAACAGAGCACACCGUCUCCACCAAGGAGGAGACAGGGGACUCCCCUGAGAAGGACGCUAGUUCACCAACACAGGAGCCAGAUAUAUGGAGAAACGUGACUCAAAGAAGUAGGAGGCCCAGGGUUCGCUCUGAUUGUUUAGAAAUACACAAUCGCUUUGAGGUCCUCUCCCCUAGCAUGGAAGACGAAGAGCAGACUCCAUUUGAGGAUCUCUCCCUUAUUACAGUCGAUCAGGUAUAUGAAGACGAGCAGCAAAGUCAGUCCUCAGGGAAUGUGCAGGCGACCUUGGAGCGGACAGCUCACGGAAGAACCCCGACCAAACCUAAGAGGAGGCGUGUAGUGGUGAUAGGGGAUUCCCUACUGAGGGGAACAGAAGCAGUGAUCUGUGGGCCUGACAAGAUGUCUCGGGAAGUGUGCUGUCUCCCCGGGCUAAGAUCCAAGAUGUAACUGAACGACUGCAAGGAAUCAUAAAACCCACUGACAAAUACCCCUUCCUCUUGGUUCAUGUGGGAACCAAUGACACUGCAAGCAAUAGCCUCCAGAAGAUCAAAAGAGACUACGAGGCUCUGGGCAGGAAAUUGAAGCAAUUAAAUGCACAAAUUGUGAUCUCAUCUGUCCUCCCAGUUGAACGACGUGGCCCAGGGAGAGAGGGGAAAAUAGUGGAAGUGAACAGCUGGCUUCGCAAAUGGUGUAAACAGGAACGGUUUGGAUUCUUAGAUCACGGACUGCAGUUUCUUGAAGAUGGACUUCUGGCAAACGAUGGGCUGCACCUCACAACGGUUGGGAGAAAUGUUUUUGCCAAAAAUCUCAGAAACCUCAUCAGGUGGGCUUUAAACUGAGUAGUGUGGGGGAGGGAGACAGUGCUCCUGAAGGUAGGAGUCUAUCAAGUGAUGAAGAUGAUCAUCCAAAUGUCAUAGACCAAAUGGAGCAAACAGCACACAGACCUAGUGGUGGGAGGAAAAAAUCCUUAAAUAAGAGACACGGGGGGAAUGAUUAAUGGACUUCAAUGUCUGUACACUAAUGCGCAAAGCAUGGGAAAUAAACAAGAUGAGCUUGAGCUCUUGGUACAGCAGACUAAAUAUGACAUAAUAGGCAUCACUGAAACCUGGUGGGAUAAGUCCCACGAUUGGAAUGUAAUAAUGGGGGAUACAAUCUAUUUCAGAGAAACAGACCAGACAAGAAAGGAGGAGGAGUGGCGUUAUAUGUCAGGGAUGUGUAUACCUGUGAAGAGAUCCAAGAUUUAGAACCUCAAAGCCAAAGUGAGAGCAUUUGGGUCAAAAUUAAGGGAGAGAAGAAUAACAGUGACCUCAUUGUGGGAGUUUACUAUAGAUCCCCAAGCCAAACGGAGGACAUAGAUGAUGCCUUCCUGGAACAGAUGGCCAAGCAUGCAAAAGGAAGGGAGAUAGUAGUAAUGGGGGACUUCAAUUACCCGGAUAUUUGUUGGAUGUCAAACUCAGCCAAGAGCAUAAGGUCAAACAGAUUCCUCACUGGCCUUGCAGACAACUUCAUUGUCCAGAAAGUGGGAGAAGCAACAAGAGGAACAGCCAUUUUAGAUCUGGUCCUAACCAAUGUUGAUGACCUGGUUAGUGGGGUAGAAGUGGAAGGAUCAUUAGGCGCGAGUGAUCAUGCUCUUCUGAAGUUUACUAUACAGCAGAAAGGAGCAGCCAAGCAUACUAGGACUCAAUUUCUUGACUUUAAGAAAGCUGACUUCAUAAAACUUAGGGAAGUGCUGGGUGAGAUCCCAUGGACAGUAAUACUAAAAGGAAAGGGAGUUCAUGAUGGCUGGGAGUUUGUUAAGAGGGAGAUACUAAAAGCACAACGUCAGGCAAUACCAAUGAGACAGAAACAUGGAAGGUGCCUAAAGAAGCCAGGGUGGCUAUCUAAAGAACUUUUAACUGAGUUAAGAUUUAAAAAGGACGUGUACAAAAAAUGGAAAAGGGGGGAAACCACCAAAGAGGAAUUCAAACAAAUAGCCAGCACGUGUAGACACAAGGUCAGAAAAGCUAAAGCACAGAAUGAACUCAGGCUUGCUAGAGAGGUUAAAAGCAACAAAAAAGGCUUUUAUGGGUAUGUCAGUAGCAAAAGGAAGAACAAAGAAACAGUGGGGUCACUCAGAGGAGAAGAUGGUGAAAUGCAAACAGGGGACACAGAAAGGGCUGAACUCCUCAAUGCCUUCUUUGCCUCAGUCUUCUCCGAUAAAGAAAACAAUGCCCGACCUGAAGAAUUUGGAGCAAAUGAUUCAGCAAAGGAAACACAGCCCAGAAUAACUAAGGAGAUAGUACAAGAAUACUUGGCUAGUUUAGAUGUAUUCAAGUCUCCAGGGCCAGAUGAACUGCAUCCAAGAGUAUUAAAAGAACUGGCAGAUGUGAUCUCAGAACCACUGGCAGUCAUCUUUGAGAAUUCCUGGAGAACGGGCGAAGUCCCGGCAGACUGGAGGAGGGCAAAUGUUGUCCCUAUUUUCAAAAAGGGGAAAAGAGAGGACCCAAAUAAUUACCGCCCAGUCAGUCUGACAUCAAUACCAGGGAAGAUUCUGGAGCAGAUCAUUAAGCAAACAGUCUGUGAGCACCUAGAAAGGAAUGCUGUGAUCACCAAUAGUCAGCAUGGAUUUCUGAAAAAUAAGUCAUGUCAGACUAACCUGAUCUCGUUUUUUGACAGAAUUACAAGCCUGGUAGAUGAAGGGAACGCAGUGGAUGUAGCCUACCUUGAUUUCAGCAAGGCAUUUGACAAGGUGCCUCAUGAUAUUCUUGUAAAGAAGCUGGUAAAAUGCGGUCUUGACUAUGCUACCACUCAGUGGAUUUGUAACUGGCUGACUGACCGAACCCAAAGGGUGCUCAUCAAUGGUUCCUCUUCAUCCUGGAGAAGAGUGACUAGUGGGGUGCCACAGGGUUCUGUCUUGGGCCCGGUCUUAUUCAACAUCUUUAUCAACGACUUGGAUGAUGGACUCAAGGGCAUCCUGAUCAAAUUUGCAGAUGACACCAAACUGGGAGGGGUGGCUAACACCCCAGAGGACAGGAUCACACUUCAAAACGACCUUGACAGAUUAGAGAACUGGGCCAAAACAAACAAGAUGAAUUUUAACAGGGAGAAAUGUAAAGUAUUGCACUUGGGCAAAAAAAUGAGAGGCACAAAUACAAGAUGGGGGACACCUGGCUUGAGAGCAGUACAUGUGAAAAGGAUCUAGGAGUCUUGGUUGACCACAAACUUGACAUGAGCCAACAGUGUGACGCGGCAGCUAAAAAAGCCAAUGCAAUUCUGGGCUGCAUCAAUAGGAGUAUAGCAUCUAGAUCAAGGGAAGUAAUAGUGCCACUGUAUUCUGCUCUGGUCAGACCUCACCUGGAGUACUGUGUCCAGUUCUGGGCACCACAGUUCAAGAAGGACAUUGACAAACUGGAACGUGUCCAGAGGAGGGCAACCAAAAUGGUCAAAGGCCUGGAAACGAUGCCUUAUGAGGAACGGCUAAGGGAGCUGGGCAUGUUUAGCCUGGAGAAGAGGAGGUUAAGGGGUGAUAUGAUAGCCAUGUUCAAAUAUAUAAAAGGAUGUCACAUAGAGGAGGGAGAAAGGUUGUUUUCUGCUGCUCCAGAGAAGCGGACACGGAGCAAUGGAUCCAAACUACAAGAAAGAAGAUUCCACCUAAACAUUAGGAAGAACUUCCUGACAGUAAGAGCUGUUCGACAGUGGAAUUUGCUGCCAAGGAGUGUGGUGGAGUCUCCUUCUUUGGAGGUCUUUAAGCAGAGGCUUGACAACCAUAUGUCAGGAGUGCUCUGAUGGUGUUUCCUGCUUGGCAGGGGGUUGGACUCGAUGACCCUUGUGGUCUCUUCCAACUCUAUGAUUCUAUG
This 4350-nucleotide long non-coding RNA is filed under the name Podarcis lilfordi (Lilford's wall lizard). The record is from RNAcentral. Lineage: Eukaryota; Metazoa; Chordata; Lepidosauria; Squamata; Lacertidae.